UGUCCCCUAAAUGGUCUUCUACUUUCAAAUGAGCUUCCAAUUUAUUUUUUAAGGCAAUUUACUUUGUUUGCAGACAAACAGAGUAAUCACUGCAGUCUAAACCCACAAAUAACAUCAGUGUGUUACGUUGUAAGAGAAAUUACUCUGCUGUUCUCCAAUAAUAGCCAGAGGAAACUCAUCUCUACCUCAAAUGCUGUCAGUCAUUUUGAGAAAUUAUGCAGCAACAUUCAACGUAAACAAGGCAAACACACAGUGGUUGAUUUUGUUUCCUUGAUGAAAAAAGGAAUGUGUGACUCUUUCCUGUAUGGGUACAACCUGUCUAUGGCAGCUCUUGGACCAUUUUUCUUCCUUGUUUAUAACCUGCUAUCACCCUAACUUAUUACCUCUACUGCCACCACCUCAGUCGGAGCCACUAUCGUCUCUCGUCUCACGGCAAGAGCCUCUUGAAGGGCUCUCUGCUUCUGCUCUUUCCUUCUUCAGCCGGUUCUCAACACAGCAGUCUGAUUCCAUGGGGCUUCAAGAGAGACUCUCAGCCAGGUCCUGCUUUUAGGCAAGUGAAAUCCCAAAGUUUCCCAUGUGUUUGCUAUUCUCAUCCUCAGUUGACUGCUGCAGCCGAGUUCCUCCUGCUGCUAACUUGUGGCUCUCUUGCUUUAAGUUAAGCCCUGAGUUUCUUAUUUAUCCUCUCUAGACAUGGAUAACUAGUAAUCAUAUAUCUCUUUCCCAAAAGCCCUUCAUGCAGAUGAACACAGUUAACCCUCCACAUUCUGGUCUGUAAUGAAAUAGCCCCAAUAUCAUUCAUCUUUCUCCAGGGGACUUUUUUUUUUCCUGAAAUAAUGUUAUUUUAACAAAUAUAUUUCAAAUAUAUAUUUCAAGUAUAUGCAACAAUUUACUCAAUGCAACAGUUCACUAAAGCUCAAGCUUAAAGUCGUGAGCAAGGAUUGCCUUAUGAGGAAACCACUAUAUAACUUGGUUUAAAAGAAUUUUGUUUGGUUUAAACAGUAAAAUCUUCAUGGAACAAGGAGAAAUCCCAUUAGGAUACAACUUCAAAAUGAUCUUAAAGCUUGGGAAGAAGCACCCAUUUGCCUUGAGAGGAUUUAGGAAUGUUACAGAAGGAAUACGAAGCGGUAGGAAGAGUUGGUAUUUAGCCUCUGACAUCAAAAUAGGAUUUUCAAAAGAGGCAACAAUCAUUUAAGCCAGAUUUUGUCCAGAAAGAAUUUUCUAAAUUUCUUUAAGUAUCAAGACAAAGCAGAGAAUUUGAAUCACAGAUUUUCUUCCACAGUGCAGAGAGGAUGGCCCUUCCCCUUAAGAUAGCUAAGCUAUGAGGAUGGCUGACUAAGGAGAAAAGAAGAUACGACACAGAGGAAGCAGAAAGGCUGCAGCCUGCUGCUUCUGGUCCAAGGGAAGCAAGACAAGGAGUUUGAGGAGAUCAAUAUCAAACUCUUGCCCCUAUAUCCCACGUAAGGUUGAAAGCUUAGGAAGUAAGGUUUUAGAAACAUCCAGAUAGGAUGUGGAAGCUGAAGGGCCUUUGGACUAGGGCCUUACCUCUCUGAGGAUAGUAUAGAAGAGGGUGUAGCUCCUAGAAAAAGCUCCAGCCUUGCUGGAUGCACAUUCAAGAUGGCGUGGGGGAGAUGGCGUGGAGUGGAGGACAAUGUGGAUUGAGAGGUGAGCAACUGCUUCCUCCUGCUCACAAAUGCAACCUUAAAGGGGACCCCCAGUGAGGGGUCUCAGGGGUGCAGAAGAUCUUGUAGACCAGCAGAGGCUUACGAACAGAGAGGAGAGGCUAAAGGGUGUGAAGACAUAGAGGCAAGUGACCAGGACCACAGACUCCAGUGCUGGAAACUAAGUUUUCACCUUCAAAAGCCUGAUAGCACCUGUCACACCUCAGCAGUCACCAGUCCAAAGAGCAGCCCCCCUGCAUCUCCCCUAAGCUUCUGGAAGGAUGCAGAAACUUCAGCCCUCUUUCCUCCUCUGUUUCUAGAGAGGAACAGAGGAGAGAGCCAACUUCUGAAUGCGAAGUCAUCCAAGCAGAAACAGAGUUAUCUGAAGAGACAGUGAAAAUGAUUGGACAAGAUUAACAUCUGCAGAUUAAAAAAAAUAUGUACCCACUGGCCACCCCCACACUUUCCAAUUCCCCAACAAUGUGGGGACUUUUGAGGAAAUCUGAAAAGUUAUAAUGAAAUGAAGAAGCUGCAUUUCUUUGUCCAUCUGGGUGUACACAGUGUGAAUGAAUAUUCAGCACUACUACACGUCAUUGAAAUUAGGGGUUAAAUGAGCGUUGACUGCAAUAAAUUAUUCUCAGUGUAACUCAAUAGAUAUAUGAUAAAGCUGAACUAAGAAACUUGUCUUCAGAAUGUAUGGCAUUAUUUCCAAUUGCUCUAAGCAAGAACUAUCCUAAGCCGUUAUUAGACCAUCUUCCUCCAAUGACUUUAAGAGCAGACUUCAGAAUAUAGUGCUAUUUUAUUUUCAUUUUAUUUUUUUGCUGUGGAAGAUUUGCCCUGAGCCAACAUCUGUGCCAAUUGUCCCCUAUUUUGUAUGUGGGUCGCCUCCACAGCAUGGCUGCCAAUGCAUGGUAUAGGUGUGCACCCAGGAACUGAACCUGGGCCACCAAAAUGGAGCGUACCACACUUAACCACUAGGCCAUGGGUCUGGCUCAUAUAGUGCUAUUUUAAGGGUCUUCAUGUAUUUACUAAGAUCCAAACAAGUGGAUUGAUUACCACUAUUGAAAUCCUUUCAAAGUGUCAAAGCACUAUAAAAAAUCUAUACAAACAUCCCUGAAUUGUAUGCUUCACCUCUUGUUCUCUAAUCAUCUAUUGUCAUUACUCUAAUUUUUCCCUGUGGUCUAUGAUUUGCUAGUUCCAAGUAAGCUAGAGGAAAUUUGCUUCACUUCAGCAUCUGAUAUUUUAUGUUUCAGAAUUCACUGAAUAAAUGCUUAUUGGGUAAGUUCCUCUUCCAAGUUAGGUAUUGUUUCCCUUUUUAGCCCCACUUCUUAGUCAAAUGGGAGAGAUGGAGAGAGCGACAGCUUUGCCCUUUCAACAACAGAAGUAGUAAUAAAUAUAAGUGCUCAUCAUUGGU
RNAcentral lists this long non-coding RNA (3072 nucleotides) under Equus caballus (horse). Its description in RNAcentral is "lncRNA (ENSECAG00000054874.1)". Lineage: Eukaryota; Metazoa; Chordata; Mammalia; Perissodactyla; Equidae. The record is from RNAcentral.